Molecule: long non-coding RNA, 303 nt
Organism: Exaiptasia diaphana
Lineage: Eukaryota; Metazoa; Cnidaria; Anthozoa; Actiniaria; Aiptasiidae
Exons: 3
Source: RefSeq, a predicted model, not a curated record
UAAAACCAAACGAGGGUCCUUUUUUUAACYAUUUCCAUGUUUAAUGAGGAAUUUGAGCCCGAAAAUGGUUUACUAACAAGCAUACAGUAGCUUUGCGUCGAAAAAGAAGAGUACACAUGGGAAUGCAACUGUACUUACAGAAAAAUCAGCAGUAGAAAAUGUAAGUCAAGCUGUAGAUGCACUUUUUUUGAGAAUGUUGUUUUAUGUAGGCGAAAAGAGCCWGUCAUUUGAAACAACCACCAGCUACUAGCAUAUUUAAAGCUUGRUGCACUUACAUCGCCCUGGCUAACGGAURUUCAGAAU